AGGGGAACAGAGCAUUCCAAGGCAAGACACCAACAAAGGCAAAGGCUUGGAGGUGAAAAAGUGAGGCUUGCAGCUUCACUCUCCUUUUCCCAUAUCCAAAUCCAGCCCGUCAUCUGAGACCCACACUGAGCCGCCUCCCUCAUGAAGCCCUCCCAGAUACCUCAUGUCCUGCUGACCCUUCUCCUCUUCCUGGAGAACUCAGGCCUGGAGCGCUCAUCUGGCUUGAACUGCUUGGUUGGGUGGCGAGCCGGUUAUGCACACAAGCUCUGAGAGGCCUGGGGGAAGUUGCUUAACCUCUCCAGCCCUCAGUUCCUUCACCUGUAGUUGAGAAUAAUAAUACCUAUCUUUCAGGGUUGCUGAGGGGAGAAUAUUGAUAGAUACAGAGUGCUGGGCACCUGGUGAAUACUGCGUCUUCAGAAAGGACUUCCCUGAUGGCCCUUUCUAGAUAAUCAUUUUUUUCUAGAGGUGGCUCCUGCAGAAUUGCCCAUCCCACGGGCCCUUUGGCCUCAUGGCUGCUCGGACCCCUAGCGUAGCGUGGAAGAGAUGUUUUGGGCCUGGCGCCUAACUGGCCUGGAAGUCAGCCACCCUGGAAGUGCAACAAGCCUGAGACCACAGAGCUGUGAGAAGCCCGAGCCACGUGGGGAGGAAGGGGAUCCAGGAGUGUCAGACACCAGCCCUGGGAGUGAGGACACCACCUUGGGGAGGUCCUGUCGUCACUGAGAUGCAGCAACUCGGACUCUAAGUGAGAAGGGGCUUCCCAACAUUGGCCUUAGUCCUCAUCGGACCAUGUUCUUGCCUGAUGAGCCAGGCUGGAGGAAGGCUCCAAGUGCUGGGUUUUCUCCUUGGGACUUUGUCCUGGGGAUCCUGGGGUAGGGGCUGGACUUGGGGAUCCCGUAGCCUCCCCUAACUGGAAAAAUAGCCGAGAACCCAGGGCAGGAACUGGGCAGAGAAAGAUGGGGGGCCCAGGUGGCUGAGGAGGGGAUGGCCUGAUAAUGUAACUGUCCUGGACAGUGCUCCCAGGAUUUCACAAGGAACAAAGCCCUGGCUUUGGGGCAUCUGGCUUUCUCAGCGAAGCCUGACAUCACCAACGACUGGGAAACAGUGACAUCUGCCGGCUGCCUGAGGCCAGAGCCCUCCUCCUUGGUUGGAGAACCACAGGGCGUUAGACCAUCUUAGAAUCCUGGAACAAAGAGGAUUUGGCCUUUGAUUCAGCUGUCUGGGAGGAGCCCAGGAUUCUGCAUUUCUAACAAGCCGCUAAUACCACUGGGUAUGGGGUCGGCAGUGCACCUUGUUUAGAAAGCUUUAUUUAUAUCAAUUAUAUCUCAGUAAAAUUGAAGGAGUUCCUGUCGUGGCGCAGUGGUUAACAAAUCCAACUAGGAACCAUGAGGUUGUGGGUUCGAUCCCUGGCCUUGCUCAGGGGGUCAAGGAUCCUGCGUUGCCGUGAGCUGUGGUGUAGGUUGAAGACGCGGCUCGGAUACCUCGUUGCUGUGGCUCUGCCGUAAGCCAGUGGCUACAGCUCUGAUUAGACCCCUAGCCUGGGAAUCUCCAUAUGCUGCAGGAGCAGUCCUAGAAAAGGCAANAAAAAAAAAAAAAAAAAAAAAAAAAAAAAAGGAGGAAAAAAUGUUUUAGGGGGCUCAGAGAUGAAUCAGAUCUGGUCCCAGACAUCCCAAGUGUCUUAGGGGUGCUUUUCCACAUAUAAAAUCUGUUGAUCACAAGGCAA
This 1720-nucleotide long non-coding RNA is filed under the name Sus scrofa (pig). Its description in RNAcentral is "lncRNA (ENSSSCG00055021207.1)". The record is from RNAcentral. Lineage: Eukaryota; Metazoa; Chordata; Mammalia; Artiodactyla; Suidae.